ACAUCAUAGCUGGGGAACAGGGAUUCACAAGACCCAGGCUGUUCCCUACAUAUUUUUCCUCCUCAGACAUCAGUUCAUCAGUCAAUCAAGUCAUGUGAGAGUGGAGGCCAUGUAUUCCGUAUUCUUGGGCACUCUCCUCCAAGGAGGAAAAGGCCAGGAGGUCCUGUUAGAGGAUGCACUCUGAGAGGCCGGGCUCCCUAAGGUGUGAGAGUUCUAACCAGCAGGUGUAGACUUUUCAGGAGUGAGGAAUGAGGCAGGCAUUCCAAACCUGGAGCUUCAUCACCUUUUGUUUCAUCUCAAGACAAUUCUGAGGGGCUGUUUUGGAACGUGUCUGGAAGGUGAACGUUGAAGAAGAGUGUGGGCUUUGAUGUGACUCAGAUAAGAUCUUUCAUGGGGAGGCAGGAAUUUAAUGCCCAGAAUCUGGGCUGGUGUCUUUGAGGUCAGUGGGUUGCCUUUUUGUAUCCAAGUCCAUUGUUACUAGGUUGGAGGCUGGAGAUUCUAAAUGGCUUCCAGACCGCCUCUCUGAUUCUCUUUUGGAGAUGGGGUCUGAAAAAGACAAUGUCAGUAUUUUUGGGAAAUUCUGGAAAGUCUGUUUGGAAACCUGUGAAGACCUCUUGCCUAGUGCCUAAAUGCUCAAUGUGCAGCUCUAGCCACGUAGAUGUUUGGUA
RNAcentral lists this long non-coding RNA (668 nucleotides) under Pongo abelii (Sumatran orangutan). RNAcentral describes it as "lincRNA". Lineage: Eukaryota; Metazoa; Chordata; Mammalia; Primates; Hominidae. The record is from RNAcentral.